CACGUAGGGGACGAGCGUUGUCCGGAUUCAUUGGGCGUAAAGCGCGCGUAGGCGGCUCGGAAAGUCGGUCGUGAAAUGCCGGGGCUCAACCCCGGGACUGCGUCCGAUACUUCCGGGCUGGAGGUAGGUAGGGGAGAUCGGAAUUCCUGGUGUAGCGGUGAAAUGCGCAGAUAUCAGGAGGAACACCGGUGGCGAAGGCGGCAUCCUGGACCGGCAUUGACGCUGAGGCGCGAAAGCCAGGGGAGCAAACGGG
Molecule: ribosomal RNA, 253 nt
Filed under: uncultured bacterium
Lineage: Bacteria
Description: partial 16S ribosomal RNA
Rfam family: Bacterial small subunit ribosomal RNA
Source: RNAcentral